UACAGAGGUCUCAAGCGUUGUUCGGAUUCAUUGGGCGUAAAGGGUGCGUAGGCGGCGGGGUAAGUCUGAUGUGAAAGGCCGGGGCUCAACCUCGGGACUGCAUUGGAUACUGCCUUGCUCGAGAACUGGAGAGGAGACUGGAAUUUACGGUGUAGCAGUGAAAUGCGUAGAGAUCGUAAGGAAGACCAGUGGCGAAGGCGAGUCUCUGGACAGAUUCUGACGCUGAGGCACGAAGGCCAGGGGAGCAAACGGG
This 253-nucleotide ribosomal RNA is filed under the name uncultured bacterium. RNAcentral's name for it is "partial 16S ribosomal RNA". It matches the Rfam family "Bacterial small subunit ribosomal RNA", at positions 524 to 776 of the family's 1533-position model. The record is from RNAcentral.